AAAAGAAGAAGAAUAUGUGACAGAUACAGAUGGUCAAAAAUAUUUACUAUCUGGCUUUUUACAGAAAAAAGUUUGCUGACCCUUGAUCUAGAUUAUCUCUGGCAGAUGAGUCUGUGGAAAAACCGCUCACAGAGGAAAUGAGAUGAGAAAACUGAACCUCAGAGAAGCUAACUGACUUUCUCAAGUUCACAACAGAUAAUUAAGAGAUACUAUGGGUAUGAAGAGGAUGUUUAGUUUUCUAUAGCUAUUCUUUCGUUUAAACUUUCAACACCUUCCAGGUUGUAUGCUCUGUCUCCAGGUAUCACCAUAGUGCCAGAGGUUAAAAUAAUUUGGAUAUUUUGAAUGGAAACACAAAAACAAAAACUACAGAUAGCCUUAAUUUAACAUGCGCUGCAGAAAUGAUUUGACAUUUCCCAAUUCUCCUAGGCCUUAGCUCUGUCCAUGCCAAAGUAUGUUUUUUGAGCCCUGGUUCUACAUAUAUAGCUUAUUUUUUCCUAACAAAUUAAGCAUACGGUUCUAAGUGCUGGAUUUACUUUCUAUAGGUUCCUUUAUGUACUUCAAGUCAGCCUGGCAACAUUUCUCCUCCUGCUCUGCAAACAUUUUUACUUUUUAAAAUUCCCAACACCAUCCCUUUUUUUUCCUGGAGUAUUCCCAAAUUAGCUAUUCAUCAUUUGCUCUCUUUGAAGUUUUGGAUGUAGAUUUUAGCAUCUAUUAGAAUCUCCUCACCACCUCCCCUUAAUUUAGUUGCUCUAAAGUACCAGUAAACAAUGUAGAUUCUUAUGAAGAUUUUCUGAAGGAGCAGAGGAAAGAAUUUCUAUCACUUAUUUCAUAACCAGUAUCUUCAGAAUCCCUGUUAGAUAUCACUAUUCUUUAAAACUUCUCCUUAGGUUUGCUACCAUCAAGGAUUUUCUUCUCUUAUUUUUUUUUCCAUGAAUACCUCAGCUUCCUUGGCUCCUUUCUUUACCAGAGUAUCCUUGAGAAUUCUUAGUUCCUUAUCACUUUAUUAUGUAAAGUUUUUGAAGUCAAGUCUAUCUCCUAACUGCAAAUUUAUGUAUCUAAAUCCAUCACAGGGCUCAAAAAAAGCAAAGGCCCUUAACAGGAUCUUUGUUGCUUAGGAGGCAUGGUCUUCUUUUAUUACUUGUGCAGUCUUACUCCAAACCCUAAAUGUAAAAUAUUUAUUUCAAUUAAGUUCUGUGCUUUCCCCAAAAGAAGCUUUCUUACUAUUUUCAACAGAUAAAAGAAUGAACAUCUAUAUUGUUUAUACAUCUAUAUUGUUGUUACAUCUAAUUUUUUCAUAGGAGUGGAUUAAAAUUAACAUAUUUUGGAAAAAAUUCACUGGAAAAAGAAAGAUACACAGGAAUAGGCUACAACAGAAUUCUGUCCAAAGUACUAGGUGCUGUGGAGGAAUUCCUGUUGGAAGUAUCUAAUGAGACAACAUGUAGUAAGUGCAAUGUUUGGUUAUUCUUAUUAUUUAUUAUUCUUGUUUAUUGCUUUAUUAUAAAUUUUGUUAGAUAACAAACUAAAAUGAUACAUGCAAGACGUUUAAAAACAAACAUACUAGAACACUAAUGUCCAAAUGAGUUUUAAUCCCUUUAAAGUACUUCUUAGAGAUCAGACACACACUACAAUGAUGCUGUUAUGAAGCUAAACAUUUUUGUCCACGGAAAUUAGCUUUCAGACAGUUAUUUUAAGGUCUCAUCAGAAGAAAAUCAAUUUCACUGUAAUGUAAUUAAGAUUGGUUUUUCUACACCAAAUGUAAUUGGUAGUUUAGUCACAAACUUUUUUUACUAACUUCGCUCCAAAUUGCUUUAGAUUUACAACAGCGAGUGUUUGUUUAAAAUAAUGUGCCACAGGCUCAGAAGGCAGUGCCCAAGGAGAACCAGUGGUAGCAGAUUUGGAAUAAAUAUGCCAUUUACUCAAUACUUGUGUGAUCUUGGCCAAAUCAUAUCCUCUGGGCCUCAGUUUUCUUUAGUGUAUUGAGGGGGUACUGUCUAACUCAGUCAUUCAGUGAUCACAGUAGAAAAUCAAUAGCAUAUAAAAGCAACAACCUGAGGCAACUUGAGUUGGCACUUCAAGACAGGGAGAAGAGAGAAUGGAUGUUUAUCAGGAGUAUGUUUUCAUUUUUGUUUUUGUUUUUUGAUGCUAUAAUUUAAAUUUUAACUCGAUUUGGAA
Molecule: long non-coding RNA, 2172 nt
Organism: Felis catus (domestic cat)
Lineage: Eukaryota; Metazoa; Chordata; Mammalia; Carnivora; Felidae
Exons: 3
Source: RefSeq, a predicted model, not a curated record